Molecule: non-coding RNA, 144 nt
Organism: Caenorhabditis elegans
Lineage: Eukaryota; Metazoa; Nematoda; Chromadorea; Rhabditida; Rhabditidae
Source: Ensembl
AAUGUUAGUAUUCAAUUUUUGCGACUUCUAUUGUACAACAAAUUCAAUACAAUAGAUUGAAUUGUUCAAGAACAAACUUCCAAUUCAUUGUUGGUUGAAACGAAUGAAUAGAAUCAAGGAAGGAAAGAAGGUAUUCAACAACUU